Orbicella faveolata is the source of this 529-nucleotide long non-coding RNA. NCBI's taxonomy places the organism in Eukaryota, Metazoa, Cnidaria, Anthozoa, Scleractinia, Merulinidae. The record is from RefSeq and is a predicted model, not a curated record.
ACGCAGUNCGAAGAUGGUUUCUUGUUCGAUCUGUAGACAGGGAUUCCUUCGUGGGUUGAAAAAUGGAAAGUUUUUACGCUAAGGAACACUUACCACGGCAUAUCGACAAUGAAAUCCUGUAAGCGACGAUCCUUGCAUCGAAAUCUUGAAAGCUACCUAAAUGUCUAUCGACCGUGGUCCGUGGACAAAUCGACGGAAUCGUUUUAAAAUGUUUUUAAUGUCACCCGAAGGAAGAAUGAAAUGAAUGCCGUGUCAUAUGGAAGCUAAGGUUGAGCAAAAUGUACUAUUGUGCAUAUGCAAACAACCCAGAUGAACACUGUGGUAACAACUACAGUAUACUAUAAUAUGCAAGUGACAGUAAGCAAAUGUGAAUAUUAACAACACCAUUACUGAUGCUAUAUGUGUUUAUCAGCUGCCAAAAAUAAUAGCAAAAGACUUCAUAGAAACCAGCUUUAACAACACAAGUCACCCUUAAGACUUCAUGGAAUUAAUCUGAGAAUUACAGAUGGAUGUGGAAUACUCCUACUUA